UUCAAUUAUUAUUCUUUGUGCCUAUUAAGUUUUGCUGUGUGUAUGUUGGUAUAAACUUCAACUUGGAUGGAGUUUUGAGUUUCCUGCCUAAGCUUGAGAGCGAUGAGGGAUUAUAUCUAGCCCCCAAAAAGAGAGAGGCCUUGAGCAAGGAAAAAGAAAAAUGCACUGACAGGAGAUCUCCAAAGCUUUUGGAUGAGUUGUAAGAGCCAUCCUACAGUCUAAAGUUCGAGGGACGGCUGCAGUUGUGACGAGGAUAGAUUUGAGAAUGAAGUUUCUCCACUUCUAGCUCAUAGAUUUCCUUCAACUCGAGGUGAGAGGGAAUUUGAUAUGGUCAAUGCUUUCAUUAUGUCUGAUCAUGCUAGAGCUUUGGCUAGGCAUAGAGUGGAUAUGGUAGUCUACAAAAGAAUGGUACUUUUUUUGCUCUGCAAUUCAUUUUUGCUUAUAUUCACAUUUCUGAGUUUACUUGGCAAUUGUAUUAUACUUUCCCUAUUUGCCUAACAGGUUUUGACUAUGUAAUCUUCACUUGUUGGGAUGAGUAGUCGCAUUUUAAUGGCUAAGUUGAAAGCUCUCGAGGAGGACAAUAACGAUGAAGCAAGCAACAUUAAGAAGAAAGAUCUGCAAUAAGGAUAUGGAGUCCUUGAAUUGGGAGUAGGAGUCCCAAAUUAGUAAACGAGAUAAGGAGAUUGAUAACUUGUGCUCUUAUCUAGCCCAUGCUCAAAUUGAUAUAGUAGAUCGAUUCAAGGUUUCUUAGGAAUAUGUUAAGGACGUGAAUAAAUAUGGGGCAAAAAUGAUGGCUACCUUUAUCUCUCUUACUAAAGAAUGAGUGGCUGCUGAACAUCCAUCUAUCUAUCCUCGCGACUUGACUAUUUUUUGUUGCAAUGUAGAGAGAAGAAAUAAGUAGACUAAGAUAUUUGUAUACACCAAUGCACCACGGAGAGAGGGCGAAGGGACCUCACACCCCGAGUGACUUAGUUUUUCAUUAUUCGGUUGCAUUUUUUAUUAUUAUUCCCUUUUGUCCUUUGACUACUCUGUAAUUUUUAUUGGUCCGAGAUGUGGACUGGAUAUCAUAUUUUGCAUCAUUGUGGUUGAUUUCUUUUUCAAAAAAUGAUCCUAGUUUGACAUAUCCCAUUUUUUUUAUUGGGCUAGACGGACAAUCACAUUAGUAUAUCAAAAUCAUUCACCAAAUGUGUAGAGGUUAUGCCGUCUAUUCUUGC
Molecule: long non-coding RNA, 1214 nt
Filed under: Olea europaea subsp. europaea
Lineage: Eukaryota; Viridiplantae; Streptophyta; Magnoliopsida; Lamiales; Oleaceae
Source: RNAcentral